Small nuclear RNA from Chionomys nivalis (European snow vole), 106 nucleotides. The record is from RefSeq and is a predicted model, not a curated record. Lineage: Eukaryota; Metazoa; Chordata; Mammalia; Rodentia; Cricetidae.
GUGCUUGCUUUGGCAGCACAUAUACUAAAAUUGGAAUAAUACAGAAAAGAUUAGCAUGGUCUCUGUGCAAGGGUAACAGCAAAUUUGUGAAGCAUUCCAUAUUUUU